Molecule: ribosomal RNA, 850 nt
Filed under: uncultured bacterium
Lineage: Bacteria
Description: bacterial SSU rRNA
Rfam family: Bacterial small subunit ribosomal RNA
Source: RNAcentral
GAGUGUGGAUGAAGUAGGCGGAAUUUGUGGUGUAGCGGUGAAAUGCAUAGAUAUCACGAGGAACUCCGAUUGCGCAGGCAGCUUACUAGGCCAUAACUGACGCUCAGGCACGAAGGCGUGGGGAUCAAACAGGAUUAGAUACCCUGGUAGUCCACGCAGUAAACGAUGAUUACUCGCUGUUUGCGAUACACAGUAAGCGGCUUAGCGAAAGCGUUAAGUAAUCCACCUGGGGAGUACGUUCGCAAGAAUGAAACUCAAAGGAAUUGACGGGGGCCCGCACAAGCGGAGGAACAUGUGGUUUAAUUCGAUGAUACGCGAGGAACCUUACCCGGGCUUGAAAUGCAUCUGACAGGAGCAGAGACGCUCUCUCCCUUCGGGGCAGAUGUGUAGGUGCUGCAUGGUUGUCGUCAGCUCGUGCCGUGAGGUGUCGGCUUAAGUGCCAUAACGAGCGCAACCCUCAUCAUUAGUUACCAUCAGGUUAAGCUGGGGACUCUAAUGAGACUGCCAUCGUAAGAUGUGAGGAAGGUGGGGAUGACGUCAAAUCAGCACGGCCCUUACGUCCGGGGCGACACACGUGUUACAAUGGAUGGUACAAAGGGCAGCUACAUGGCGACAUGAUGCUAAUCUCCAAAACCAUUCUCAGUUCGGAUCGAAGUCUGCAACUCGACUUCGUGAAGCUGGAUUCGCUAGUAAUCGCGCAUCAGCCACGGCGCGGUGAAUACGUUCCCGGGCCUUGUACACACCGCCCGUCAAGCCAUGGAAGCCGGGGGUACCUGAAGUUCGUAACCGUCAAAGGAGCGACCUAGGGUAAAACUGGUGACUGGGGCUAAGUCGUAACAAGGUAACCGUA